GCAGCAAUGAUGAUUGGCGCAGGGGUACGGACCUCAGCUAGAUCAUGGGAGCUGAUUGUGAGCUAUCUGCGUUCCAGCUUCGCUGGCAUGUGGCUGGCUUCCUGGAAACGGGCUUGCAAGAGAAUUUCGCCUUACACUGAGCUGC
Molecule: small nucleolar RNA, 145 nt
Organism: Podarcis muralis (Common wall lizard)
Lineage: Eukaryota; Metazoa; Chordata; Lepidosauria; Squamata; Lacertidae
Gene: SNORD94
Product: small nucleolar RNA SNORD94
Source: Ensembl